UGCCAAGUACACCUACGCUGUCUGCAGGGC
This 30-nucleotide non-coding RNA is filed under the name Rattus norvegicus (Norway rat). The record is from RNAcentral. Lineage: Eukaryota; Metazoa; Chordata; Mammalia; Rodentia; Muridae.